RNAcentral lists this ribosomal RNA (1308 nucleotides) under Klebsiella pneumoniae subsp. pneumoniae. RNAcentral describes it as "bacterial SSU rRNA". It matches the Rfam family "Bacterial small subunit ribosomal RNA", at positions 11 to 1311 of the family's 1533-position model. Lineage: Bacteria; Pseudomonadati; Pseudomonadota; Gammaproteobacteria; Enterobacterales; Enterobacteriaceae. The record is from RNAcentral.
GUUUGAUCCUGGCUCAGAUUGAACGCUGGCGGCAGGCCUAACACAUGCAAGUCGAGCGGUAGCACAGAGAGCUUGCUCUCGGGUGACGAGCGGCGGACGGGUGAGUAAUGUCUGGGAAACUGCCUGAUGGAGGGGGAUAACUACUGGAAACGGUAGCUAAUACCGCAUAACGUCGCAAGACCAAAGUGGGGGACCUUCGGGCCUCAUGCCAUCAGAUGUGCCCAGAUGGGAUUAGCUAGUAGGUGGGGUAACGGCUCACCUAGGCGACGAUCCCUAGCUGGUCUGAGAGGAUGACCAGCCACACUGGAACUGAGACACGGUCCAGACUCCUACGGGAGGCAGCAGUGGGGAAUAUUGCACAAUGGGCGCAAGCCUGAUGCAGCCAUGCCGCGUGUAUGAAGAAGGCCUUCGGGUUGUAAAGUACUUUCAGCGGGGAGGAAGGCGAUAAGGUUAAUAACCUUGUCGAUUGACGUUACCCGCAGAAGAAGCACCGGCUAACUCCGUGCCAGCAGCCGCGGUAAUACGGAGGGUGCAAGCGUUAAUCGGAAUUACUGGGCGUAAAGCGCACGCAGGCGGUCUGUCAAGUCGGAUGUGAAAUCCCCGGGCUCAACCUGGGAACUGCAUUCGAAACUGGCAGGCUAGAGUCUUGUAGAGGGGGGUAGAAUUCCAGGUGUAGCGGUGAAAUGCGUAGAGAUCUGGAGGAAUACCGGUGGCGAAGGCGGCCCCCUGGACAAAGACUGACGCUCAGGUGCGAAAGCGUGGGGAGCAAACAGGAUUAGAUACCCUGGUAGUCCACGCCGUAAACGAUGUCGAUUUGGAGGUUGUGCCCUUGAGGCGUGGCUUCCGGAGCUAACGCGUUAAAUCGACCGCCUGGGGAGUACGGCCGCAAGGUUAAAACUCAAAUGAAUUGACGGGGGCCCGCACAAGCGGUGGAGCAUGUGGUUUAAUUCGAUGCAACGCGAAGAACCUUACCUGGUCUUGACAUCCACAGAACUUAGCAGAGAUGCUUUGGUGCCUUCGGGAACUGUGAGACAGGUGCUGCAUGGCUGUCGUCAGCUCGUGUUGUGAAAUGUUGGGUUAAGUCCCGCAACGAGCGCAACCCUUAUCCUUUGUUGCCAGCGGUUAGGCCGGGAACUCAAAGGAGACUGCCAGUGAUAAACUGGAGGAGGAUGGGCAUGACGUCAAGUCAUCAUGGCCCUUACGACCAGGGCUACACACGUGCUACAAUGGCAUAUACAAAGAGAAGCGACCUCGCGAGAGCAAGCGGACCUCAUAAAGUAUGUCGUAGUCCGGAUUGGAGUCUGCAAC